ACCGCGUUAGCCCAGUUGGUAAUGGCGUUGAUAAUACAGAUGCCGAAGGCCGCAGGCUUAAAUCCUGCCUGCGGUG
Molecule: non-coding RNA, 76 nt
Organism: Phthorimaea operculella (potato tuberworm)
Lineage: Eukaryota; Metazoa; Arthropoda; Insecta; Lepidoptera; Gelechiidae
Source: the annotation of a GenBank genome assembly